GGCAAAAUGGUACCGUAACUUCGGGAGAAGGUACGCUCUUGAUGGUGAAGUCCCUUGCGGAUGGAGCUGACGAGAGUCGCAGAUACCAGGUGGCUGCAACUGUUUAUUAAAAACACAGCACUGUGCAAAAUCGUAAGAUGACGUAUACGGUGUGACGCCUGCCCGGUGCCGGAAGGUUAAUUGAUGGGGUUAGCGCAAGCGAAGCUCUUGAUCGAAGCCCCGGUAAACGGCGGCCGUAACUAUAACGGUCCUAAGGUAGCGAAAUUCCUUGUCGGGUAAGUUCCGACCUGCACGAAUGGCGUAAUGAUGGCCACGCUGUCUCCACCCGAGACUCAGUGAAAUUGAAAUCGCUGUGAAGAUGCAGUGUACCCGCGGCUAGACGGAAAGACCCCGUGAACCUUUACUACAGCUUGGCACUGAACAUUGAACCUACAUGUGUAGGAUAGGUGGGAGGCUUUGAAGACGUGACGCCAGUUGCGUUGGAGCCGUCCUUGAAAUACCACCCUUGUAUGUUUGAUGUUCUAACGUUGGCCCCUAAUCGGGGUUGCGGACAGUGCCUGGUGGGUAGUUUGACUGGGGCGGUCUCCUCCCAAAGAGUAACGGAGGAGCACGAAGGUGGGCUAAUCACGGUUGGACAUCGUGAGGUUAGUGCAAUGGCAUAAGCCCGCUUAACUGCGAGAAUGACGGUUCGAGCAGGUGCGAAAGCAGGUCAUAGUGAUCCGGUGGUUCUGAAUGGAAGGGCCAUCGCUCAACGGAUAAAAGGUACUCCGGGGAUAACAGGCUGAUACCGCCCAAGAGUUCAUAUCGACGGCGGUGUUUGGCACCUCGAUGUCGGCUCAUCACAUCCUGGGGCUGAAGUCGGUCCCAAGGGUAUGGCUGUUCGCCAUUUAAAGUGGUACGCGAGCUGGGUUUAGAACGUCGUGAGACAGUUCGGUCCCUAUCUGCCGUGGGCGUUGGAAGAUUGAAGGGGGCUGCUCCUAGUACGAGAGGACCGGAGUGGACGAACCUCUGGUGUUCGGGUUGUGUCGCCAGACGCAUUGCCCGGUAGCUAAGUUCGGAAUCGAUAACCGCUGAAAGCAUCUAAGCGGGAAGCGAGCCCUGAGAUGAGUCUUCCCUGAUACUUUAAGUAUCCUGAAGGGUUGUUCGAGACUAGAACGUUGAUAGGCAGGGUGUGUAAGCGCUGUGAGGCGUUGAGCUAACCUGUACUAAUUGCCCGUGAGGCUUAACCAU
Molecule: ribosomal RNA, 1230 nt
Filed under: Vibrio vulnificus
Lineage: Bacteria; Pseudomonadati; Pseudomonadota; Gammaproteobacteria; Vibrionales; Vibrionaceae
Description: partial 23S ribosomal RNA
Rfam family: Bacterial large subunit ribosomal RNA
Source: RNAcentral